CAGAAAGAAAAGAAAAAAGAAACAAAAUACAGGGGCUGACGAAAUUCCAUACCCAAAAUUAGUCCCACUCCUAAACAAAGCCUUUCCAUUUUGUUCGUUACAGGUGCUAUACCUGGAGGUUUAAGUAUUGGUCCUCCGGGAAAGUCCUCCAUUGAUGACUCUUAUGGCCGGUAUGAUCUGAUUCAAAACAGUGAAUCUCCCGCCAGCCCACCCGUAGCUGUUCCUCACAGCUGGUCACGUGCCAAAACCGAUAGUGAUAAAAUUUCCAAUGGCUCCAGCAUAAACUGGCCACCAGAGUUUCAUCCAGGAGUGCCAUGGAAAGGACUGCAGAAUAUUGAUCCUGAAAAUGACCCCGAUGUUACUCCUGGAAGUGUUCCAACUGGGCCUACCAUAAACACCACGAUACAGGAUGUUAAUCGCUAUCUUCUCAAGAGUGGAGGGUCAUCCCCAACAUCAUCUCAGAAUGCCACGCUGCCUUCAUCGAGUGCCUGGCCGCUUAGUGCCUCCGGCUACAGUAGCUCUUUCAGCAGCAUUGCAUCCGCACCUAGCAUUGCAGGUACGAAAAAUGGCAUUUCUACUUUCACAUCCUUCUGCAUUCCAAGAGGGAGGUCCCAUAAAGUGCUUUCCCAGUUGUUACAGUAGUGCUACUGGAGACAGAAGCAUGUUUUUUAGCACUGUGCUAGGUAGGCAGCUCUCCUGGCAGCUCCUCAGUGGGGAGCGUUGGAUGGUAUGCCUGGAAUUGCGCUAAGGAAAAAUGUAUUUAUUCCUCUCGGUGCCACGUGCCAUCACUCUGUAUUGGCAUCGAGAUCUCUUAUUCACUAUUUCCAUUGCAAC
RNAcentral lists this long non-coding RNA (834 nucleotides) under Calidris pygmaea (Spoon-billed sandpiper). RNAcentral describes it as "lncRNA (ENSCPGG00000010109.1)". Lineage: Eukaryota; Metazoa; Chordata; Aves; Charadriiformes; Scolopacidae. The record is from RNAcentral.